RNAcentral lists this ribosomal RNA (484 nucleotides) under uncultured bacterium. RNAcentral describes it as "partial 16S ribosomal RNA". It matches the Rfam family "Bacterial small subunit ribosomal RNA", at positions 30 to 507 of the family's 1533-position model. The record is from RNAcentral.
AUUGAACGCUGGCGGCAGGCCUAACACAUGCCAGUCGAGCGGAUGAAGGGAGCUUGCUCCUGGAUUCAGCGGCGGACGGGUGAGUAAUGCCUAGGAAUCUGCCUGGUAGUGGGGGAUAACGUCCGGAAACGGGCGCUAAUACCGCAUACGUCCUGAGGGAGAAAGUGGGGGAUCUUCGGACCUCGCGCUAUCAGAUGAGCCUAGGUCGGAUUAGCUAGUUGGUGGGGUAAAGGCCUACCAAGGCGACGAUCCGUAACUGGUCUGAGAGGAUGAUCAGUCGCACUGGAACUGAGACACGGUCCAGACUCCUACGGGAGGCAGCAGUGGGGAAUAUUGGACAAUGGGCGAAAGCCUGAUCCAGCCAUGCCGCGUGUGUGAAGAAGGUCUUCGGAUUGUAAAGCACUUUAAGUUGGGAGGAAGGGCAGUAAGUUAAUACCUUGCUGUUUUGACGUUACCAACAGAAUAAGCACCGGCUAACUUCGUG